RNAcentral lists this ribosomal RNA (507 nucleotides) under uncultured Glomeromycotina. Its description in RNAcentral is "SSU rRNA". It matches the Rfam family "Eukaryotic small subunit ribosomal RNA", at positions 569 to 1078 of the family's 1831-position model. Lineage: Eukaryota; Fungi; Glomeromycota. The record is from RNAcentral. RNAcentral also lists the same sequence under 1 other name.
AGCAGCCGCGGUAAUUCCAGCUCCAAUAGCGUAUAUUAAAGUUGUUGCAGUUAAAAAGCUCGUAGUUGAAUUUCGAGACCGGUUUAUUGGUCGUGCUUUUGUACGUACUGGUAUUAUUGGUUUCUCCUUUCUGACGAAUCUUAAUGCCAUUAAUUUGGUGUUUUGGGGAAUCAGGACUGUUACUUUGAAAAAAUUAGAGUGUUUAAAGCAGGCUCACGCUUGAAUACAUUAGCAUGGAAUAACGGAAUAGGACGUUUGAUUCUAUUUUGUUGGUUUCUAGGAUCGACGUAAUGAUUAAUAGGGAUAGUUGGGGGCAUUAGUAUUCAAUUGUCAGAGGUGAAAUUCUUGGAUUUAUUGAAGACUAACUACUGCGAAAGCAUUUGCCAAGGAUGUUUUCAUUAAUCAAGAACGAAAGUUAGGGGAUCGAAGACGAUCAGAUACCGUCGUAGUCUUAACCAUAAACUAUGCCGACUAGGGAUCGGAUGAUGUUAAUUUUUUAAUGACUCA